ACGCUCUAUUCAGCAGCAUACAGACUAACCGAGAGCAAUACAGAGAUUAGCAUGGCCCCUGUGCAAGCAUGACAUGCAAGCUCAUGAAGCAUUAUUUUUCUGU
Molecule: small nuclear RNA, 103 nt
Filed under: Meriones unguiculatus (Mongolian gerbil)
Lineage: Eukaryota; Metazoa; Chordata; Mammalia; Rodentia; Muridae
Source: RNAcentral